RNAcentral lists this ribosomal RNA (377 nucleotides) under uncultured eukaryote. Its description in RNAcentral is "partial 18S ribosomal RNA". It matches the Rfam family "Eukaryotic small subunit ribosomal RNA", at positions 592 to 976 of the family's 1831-position model. The record is from RNAcentral.
CAAUAGCGUAUAUUUAAGUUGCUGCAGUUAAAAAGCUCGUAGUUGGAUUUCGGGUGGGAAUGGCCGGUCCGCCGUUUCGGUGUGCACUUGCUACGCCCACCUUGCUGCCGGGGACGUGCUCUUGAGUUCACGCUCGGGACACGGAGUCGGCGAGGUUACUUUGAGUAAAUUAGAGUGUUCAAAGCAGGCCUACGCUCUGAAUACAUUAGCAUGGAAUAACACGAUAGGACUCUGGCCUAUCUUGUUGGUCUGUAGGACCGGAGUAAUGAUUAAGAGGGACAGUCGGGGGCAUUCGUAUUUCAUUGUCAGAGGUGAAAGUCUUGGAUUUAUGAAAGACGAACUACUGCGAAAGCAUUUGCCAAGGAUGUUUUCAUUAA